Molecule: non-coding RNA, 1707 nt
Organism: Prunus avium (sweet cherry)
Lineage: Eukaryota; Viridiplantae; Streptophyta; Magnoliopsida; Rosales; Rosaceae
Source: RefSeq, a predicted model, not a curated record
AUAGUAAUAUGGCCUCUCUUCGGUUAGGAGGAUAGCUUCUAACUUGCAUUCGAAGUUUUUGAUAAACUUGUACAUUACAGAUCUUUAACCAAUCACGUUCCGUCGAGUGUGAUAAUUUUCUCGAAACAUGAUUUGUUAGAGAUAUGAAAUUUGUGCAAUAUAUUUUCAUUCGCUUUGCUAUUCCAUGAAGUUCUCUUGAAGUUGCCAUAUAUUUCCUAUGCGUGUGCUCAAACAUUGACUGAACAACCACCUAACAAACCCAUGGAGACGAAUUAGCAGUCGACCCGUGCAAUCAUUCAACAAGAGAGUGCUCUUUCUUUAAGGUUCAUCAUAUAUCCUAUACUAACUCAUGCGAGGAACCAAAAGUAUCUGUAUGAAGGUAGAAUUUUCUUGUCGACUUCUUUCGUUCUGUGCAGGAAGGCGUCGGGACAACGUAUCCAAAAUUAUUUGUAUUAAGGUAGAAUUUUCUUGGAUAUGGCACCCGCUGGUUUCGAACGCAGCUUAAAGACCACAAUCUUGAUCUCUCCUCCACCUGGUCUGUCGCAAUUUCUCCUUGUCAAUUUGGUAUCUGUAUUUUAUUUAGGACAAUUGUCCAUUUAUUUAGGACAAUGCUUGGCUCCUGAUGUAUCAGGAGCCAUUCCUCCUCAACCAUGACUUGGGCUUCUUAAAAAACCAACACUUUUUUUUUUUUUUUUCCCUUCCUCUCUCCUCUUCCCCCAACCUUUUGGCUGGUUUUAACUGCUGACUCCCCAAAGGCACCGCCACCCCUGUUCCAAAUCCACCCUCAUCACCAACCUCGCCAUGUAAACCUCCGGUCAAUUUUGGAGCCCAAGACCCUGGAUUGAAAUCAUUAUGUGCUUUCAAUUGUUUUUGAAUUUGCAGCCAGAGCAGAAGUGAUGGAGAAAUGAGAGAGAGAGAGAGAGAGAGAGAAGAAAAAAGAAAUUCGGUGGGCUGCCUUAUCAGUUCAGUGGCCUGCCUUAUCGGUUCAUUGGUUUUUGAAUUUUCUUGAUGGGUUAGAUCUUAGAAUAUUGCUCAUGAUAGAUGAAUAUCAGAUUCAACAACCCACAUAUAUAAGAUGAUGAACAAUGAAAAAAGAUAAAGUGAGAGGUUUUUGGAGAGGGCGAGGUUGGUGAUGAGGGUGGAUUCGGAACAAGGGUGGCGGUGCCUUUGGGGAGCUGCGGUUAAAACCAGCCAAAAGGUUGGGGGAAGAGGAAAGAGGAUUAAAAAAAAAAAACACACGUGUUGGUUUUUUAAGAAGCCCACGUCAUGGUUGAGGAGGAAUGGGUCGUCAUACAUCAGGAGCCAAGCGUUGUCUUUUUAUUUAUAUGGUAUGUUGAUUUAACGAGAAGGUUCAGUUUGGGGUUACGGUGCUUUAAAAAGAAGCAGCUUAUUUUAAAAUUUUUGAACCCAAAGCUGUUUGGUAAAACAAGACAAAGCUGCGUUUUUUCAAAAUUGGGGGUCAUUGGCAGCAGAUUUCGGAAGCAGCUGGAGGGGUACUUUUAAAAGCUGCUGUGGAUGGAAGGAAGCAUGCGGAGGUUUUAAUGAAUAUUUCGAUAUACCUGUAUUGUCCUCAUUUGUUUUCGAAAAUGACGCGAUUUACCCUUAUCAUUUUUCACACACAGAAUUGAAACUCCCUCACCCGUUCAGAAUCACACACCCACCCAGCCCCUCCAACACCACAAACUCACCCACCUCGCCAUAACCUCC